AAUUCCUGAGCCAGAAAUGAAGCAAUUUUAUCCCUGAGACGGUAACUCCCAUGCCUGACUGAAAUUCCAGCCCACACCCUCCUCAUCCUACACCCAACCCAACUACUACUCAGGUUGGUCUGGCAAUUUUGUGCUUGGCCGUUGCUUGCCCUGGCCUCAUGGUAAAUAACCUGGUGUGUUUUUUCCUUCAUUUAAAAUUUUUCCCCUAUUUUUCAGCUUUUAUAAAUCCCCAACAAAACUCCAUGUAUCCUGCUGCUUGUUAUACACCAUUUUCAGGAUGUUAACUGUUGUUUCAUACGAACUUUUUGAGUGGCCAAUACAACUGGGAAUCUACAGAUGGUUCUAGAAUCCAGCCUCAUGAUUCUAACAUAAUUGUGAAGUUUUAUAGUUCUAUCCUCCUUCAACAGCAAAGAUAUAUAGAGCACCUCUUAUGUGCUAGGCACCGUGCUGCGUGUUAAGAAUAUAAAAAGCUAUAAAAUAUACGAGAAUGGUAAUGCUGAAGUGUGAGAAGGAGUGACUAAUAAGCCUGGGGAAAUGAAGAUAGAUUUUAUGAAAGAAAAGACAUUUGACUAGGCUCUAGAAGGUGAAUGUUGGAUGACGAAGGGAUAGCGGUCAGGGCGCCAGACGGCAUCCCAGCCAGGAGAAAUUGCGGGAGGUGUGAAGACGUUUGGCAAGCAGCCUGUGAGUCUGCAGUGUUUGGCAGGAGAUGUGCUGGAAAAGGAUGCUGAGGUCAGAUUGUGAUGGGCCCGGAAGGUCUACUGGGAUGCUGGACCUACUUUGUAGGCAAACAGGAACGUCGAGAUUUUGUAAGCAGUACUGAAGGAAAUAGUUGCUGUAUAUUUCUUCCUGAGGCACACACUGUAAAUAUACUGUGAGUCAGGAAAACACUGAGAAGUUCCAAGGUUGGCAAAUCAUUUUAGAAGGAAAAAGUCAUCAGGAACAUGAGACUCCAAAGAAACAGAUGUACCUCUAAAUGAUCUGAAGAUCCAAGUCUACCAUUAACUCCUGGGUUUAAAAAUCUCUAAUGCUUCCCCAUCGCCUAACGAGGACAAACCUAUUACAGCAUAUCUGACAAGGCCAUUCCUGAACCCUGCCCAGUCUGAGUCACCUGCUGCAUCUUCUCCUCAGAACUGGGGUAGGAGCAUUGAGCUACCAGCUGCUCCUAAAUGCACUAUGCUUUUUCAUACUGUUCCCUUUGCUUAGGAUGCUAUUCUCUUUCUAAUCAUCCUUUGAUCUCUAAAGAUACCUCAGGACCGUGAGAAAAGGUGAUCUCUGCAGUUUCUCCUGACAUUCCCGGGCAGAAUAUUUCCUUUUUCUGUGCUCCAACAAUUGUGUGUUCAUGUAUUGAUUACCAUACUUCUCACAUGUUCUAAUUAAUAUAUAUAUGUGUGUGUGUGUGUAUAUAU
Molecule: long non-coding RNA, 1406 nt
Organism: Equus caballus (horse)
Lineage: Eukaryota; Metazoa; Chordata; Mammalia; Perissodactyla; Equidae
Source: RefSeq, a predicted model, not a curated record